GUGCCUCAAGGGUGUCGAAUUAACAUUUGGACCCUACAGUCAAUUACCUAGGGGGCUGUCCCUGUCGGGGGUGUGCAUGCCUGGUUUACCAGGAAGCCUAAAGCCGACAUACGGUGCCCACGUUACUUUCCUGGGUUCCAAUUGGCUUCGCCAUUCUUGAGGCACA
RNAcentral lists this non-coding RNA (166 nucleotides) under Oligoflexia bacterium. RNAcentral describes it as "6S RNA". It matches the Rfam family "6S / SsrS RNA". Rfam says of the family: E. coli 6S RNA was the first non coding RNA to be sequenced, but its function was unknown until recently. The record is from RNAcentral. Lineage: Bacteria; Pseudomonadati; Bdellovibrionota; Oligoflexia.